This 194-nucleotide non-coding RNA is filed under the name Clostridiales bacterium. RNAcentral describes it as "6S RNA". It matches the Rfam family "6S / SsrS RNA". Rfam says of the family: E. coli 6S RNA was the first non coding RNA to be sequenced, but its function was unknown until recently. It consists of 184 nucleotides that fold into an extended hairpin structure with a large single-stranded internal bulge. The 6S RNA specifically associates with RNA polymerase holoenzyme containing the sigma70 specificity factor. Lineage: Bacteria; Bacillati; Bacillota; Clostridia; Eubacteriales. The record is from RNAcentral.
CCAUCCCUGCCGUGUGCGCGGACCACAGCACAAAUAACCCUACUACAUUAUAGAAUAGGGAGCCCAGCUCUGGUGCCGGAUUGCAGACCUCCCCGCUUUUGCGGGACGAAGGGAGCGUGAACGCAUCAGGCGGCGCCCACCUGCUGACGAGGUAGGCAGGUUAUAUUGGCUGUAUACGGCACGGUGGGGCAUAA